Molecule: non-coding RNA, 109 nt
Organism: Acanthosepion pharaonis
Lineage: Eukaryota; Metazoa; Mollusca; Cephalopoda; Sepiida; Sepiidae
Source: the annotation of a GenBank genome assembly
AACCACAUCAUGCUUAUACAGUGGUUCCUGUAUGAUCACUGAAGUUAAGCAGUGUCAGGCCUGGUUAGUACCUAAACAGGUGACCACUUAAGAAUACCAGGUGCUGUAA